GCCCUGUGAUGGAUGCCAUCUUGGAAGCAUCACAGAUCAGCACAUACCAGAGACUGGAGCGACCAGCUGCUCUAGUUUCACAGAGCGCCUCAUCAGUGCAGACUUCAGCCAUCACCACAAACCUACAAAUGAUGACCUGCAGAUGGAUGCGGUGGAGUUUUCCACGAUUCUUUAUCUGUUGAUGAAUCACAACCAAGACCUGAUAAACUCUAACUUGGAGAAUAAAAUUGUCAAAAAUGCUUGCGUGAGAACCAACAGUAAAGGACUGGACAUAAAAUUCUAGACUCCACCCUCUGCAUUAAAGUUAUGACAUUAUCAGCUGGAGAAUAGUCACGAAUCCUAGAAAGGUGUUCCCUCGAUGGAAAACCUUGGAUCCAAAAUGAAGUUAUUGGACCACAAUUCUUCCAACUCACCUGCCUUGAAGUCAUGUUAAUGAUUCAAAGCUCUUCAAACUUUGAAGGUUAUUAUUUAAAUCACGUCAGAAAGUGAGGACUGCUGUUGAACCUUAUUUUCCAAGGUGCCUUCAGAGCAGAUGGAUU
Molecule: non-coding RNA, 539 nt
Organism: Neolamprologus brichardi
Lineage: Eukaryota; Metazoa; Chordata; Actinopteri; Cichliformes; Cichlidae
Source: RefSeq, a predicted model, not a curated record